Molecule: ribosomal RNA, 274 nt
Filed under: uncultured bacterium
Lineage: Bacteria
Description: partial 16S ribosomal RNA
Rfam family: Bacterial small subunit ribosomal RNA
Source: RNAcentral
AUACAGAGGGUGCGAGCGUUAAUCGGAAUUACUGGGCGUAAAGCGCGCGUAGGCGGCUACUUAAGUCAGAUGUGAAAUCCCCGGGCUCAACCUGGGAACUGCAUCUGAUACUGGUAAGCUAGAGUUUUGGAGAGGGAAGUAGAAUUUCAGGUGUAGCGGUGAAAUGCAUAGAGAUCUGAAGGAAUACCAGUGGCGAAGGCGACUUCCUGGCCAAAAACUGACGCUGAGGUGCGAAAGCGUGGGUAGCAAACGGGAUUAGAUACCCCAGUAGUCC